RNAcentral lists this ribosomal RNA (292 nucleotides) under uncultured bacterium. RNAcentral describes it as "partial 16S ribosomal RNA". It matches the Rfam family "Bacterial small subunit ribosomal RNA", at positions 505 to 796 of the family's 1533-position model. The record is from RNAcentral.
GUGUCAGCCGCCGCGGUAAUACGGAGGGUGCGAGCGUUAAUCGGAAUUACUGGGCGUAAAGCGUGCGUAGGCGGUUAGCUAAGUCAGAUGUGAAAGCCCCGGGCUUAACCUGGGAACUGCAUUUGAUACUGGGUAACUAGAGUUUAGUAGAGGAAAGUGGAAUUUCAGGUGUAGCGGUGAAAUGCGUAGAGAUCUGAAGGAACACCAGUGGCGAAGGCGACUUUCUGGACUAAAACUGACGCUGAGGUACGAAAGCGUGGGUAGCAAACAGGAUUAGAAACCCCUGUAGUCC